This 497-nucleotide ribosomal RNA is filed under the name uncultured bacterium. RNAcentral's name for it is "partial 16S ribosomal RNA". It matches the Rfam family "Bacterial small subunit ribosomal RNA", at positions 28 to 507 of the family's 1533-position model. The record is from RNAcentral.
GAUGAACGCUGGCGGCGUGCCUAAUACAUGCAAGUCGAGCGAACAGACGAGGAGCUUGCUCCUCUGACGUUAGCGGCGGACGGGUGAGUAACACGUGGAUAACCUACCUAUAAGACUGGGAUAACUUCGGGAAACCGGAGCUAAUACCGGAUAAUAUAUUGAACCGCAUGGUUCAAUAGUGAAAGACGGUUUUGCUGUCACUUAUAGAUGGAUCCGCGCCGCAUUAGCUAGUUGGUAAGGUAACGGCUUACCAAGGCAACGAUGCGUAGCCGACCUGAGAGGGUGAUCGGCCACACUGGAACUGAGACACGGUCCAGACUCCUACGGGAGGCAGCAGUAGGGAAUCUUCCGCAAUGGGCGAAAGCUUGACGGAGCAACGCCGCGUGAGUGAUGAAGGUCUUCGGAUCGUAAAACUCUGUUAUUAGGGAAGAACAAAUGUGUAAGUAACUAUGCACGUCUUGACGGUACCUAGUCAGAAAGCCACGGCUAACUACGUG